CAGAGACAACUGCUGUUCUUUGAAUCUUGAGAUAAUCUCGGAGGAAGUCAUAAAGAAAGAUAACUGUUUUACCUGAUCCCAGACAUCCAGUAACAUGACAUCAUCCUCUGCCAGGUCAUCUUGGUUAAACUCACCAGGUCCAGGGUACUCACGAUGAACUUUCCAGUUUUGUUGGAGCAUGCGAACAGGCGGGGAGGAUGUGCUAUAGAUUUGCUCUCCAACAUCUCAGAUGUCUGAUACUUCAUCUUUCCACCCAGAGCUUUCCAGAAGUCCUCUUUCAAUGGGAAAAUGAGCAACAAGUUUUGAAAAACUGCUUAAAGAUGGGCAUCUCUCCACCCUCUGGAAGGACCUGGAUCUGUGUACAAGGACGAAAAGACCUGGGAUAUCCCAUCUGCUUAAUGAAGCCCUCAGCUGUAUUCAUGGCCUCCUUCCUUUCAUCUGGAUUUGCGUUGCGGCCUAGAUCAUCACAAAAUAAGGUCAAGGAAUCUCAAAUGAAGCAUUCCUCAGACAACAGUUCACUCUGGUUAAACGGAUUUUCAUCUGACACAAGCGACACUUGCAUUUUCCCUGUUGCAUCUGAUACCUGUAAUGUGCAAUUGUAUUUAAAUAAUAUCCUGU
Molecule: long non-coding RNA, 618 nt
Organism: Onychostoma macrolepis
Lineage: Eukaryota; Metazoa; Chordata; Actinopteri; Cypriniformes; Cyprinidae
Exons: 5
Source: RefSeq, a predicted model, not a curated record